Molecule: ribosomal RNA, 497 nt
Filed under: uncultured bacterium
Lineage: Bacteria
Description: partial 16S ribosomal RNA
Rfam family: Bacterial small subunit ribosomal RNA
Source: RNAcentral
GAUGAACGCUGGCGGCGUGCCUAAUACAUGCAAGUCGAGCGAACAGACGAGGAGCUUGCUCCUCUGACGUUAGCGGCGGACGGGUGAGUAACACGUGGAUAACCUACCUAUAAGACUGGGAUAACUUCGGGAAACCGGAGCUAAUACCGGAUAAUAUAUUGAACCGCAUGGUUCAAUAGUGAAAGACGGUUUUGCUGUCACUUAUAGAUGGAUCCGCGCCGCAUUAGCUAGUUGGUAAGGUAACGGCUUACCAAGGCGACGAUGCGUAGCCGACCUGAGAGGGUGAUCGGCCACACUGGAACUGAGACACGGUCCAGACUCCUACGGGAGGCGGCAGUAGGGAAUCUGCCGCAAUGGGCGAAAGCCUGACGGAGCAACGCCGCGUGAGUGAUGAAGGUCUUCGGAUCGUAAAACUCUGUUAUUAGGGAAGAACAAAUGUGUAAGUAACUAUGCACGUCUUGACGGUACCUAAUCAGAAAGCCACGGCUAACUACGUG